GACCAUCUCCUAAGGCUAAAUACUCUCUAGUGACCGAUAGUGAACCAGUACCGUGAGGGAAAGGUGAAAAGCACCCCGGAAGGGGAGUGAAAUAGAACCUGAAACCGUGUGCUUACAAGUAGUCAGAGCCCGUUAAUGGGUGAUGGCGUGCCUUUUGUAGAAUGAACCGGCGAGUUACGAUUUGAUGCAAGGUUAAGCAGUAAAUGUGGAGCCGUAGCGAAAGCGAGUCUGAAUAGGGCGUUUAGUAUUUGGUCGUAGACCCGAAACCAGGUGAUCUACCCUUGGUCAGGUUGAAGUUCAGGUAACACUGAAUGGAGGACCGAACCGACUUACGUUGAAAAGUGAGCGGAUGAACUGAGGGUAGCGGAGAAAUUCCAAUCGAACCUGGAGAUAGCUGGUUCUCUCCGAAAUAGCUUUAGGGCUAGCCUCAAGUGAUGAUUAUUGGAGGUAGAGCACUGUUUGGACGAGGGGCCCCUCUCGGGUUACCGAAUUCAGACAAACUCCGAAUGCCAAUUAAUUUAACUUGGGA
This 529-nucleotide ribosomal RNA is filed under the name Staphylococcus aureus. RNAcentral describes it as "partial 23S ribosomal RNA". It matches the Rfam family "Bacterial large subunit ribosomal RNA", at positions 451 to 982 of the family's 2925-position model. Lineage: Bacteria; Bacillati; Bacillota; Bacilli; Caryophanales; Staphylococcaceae. The record is from RNAcentral.